Molecule: ribosomal RNA, 497 nt
Filed under: uncultured bacterium
Lineage: Bacteria
Description: partial 16S ribosomal RNA
Rfam family: Bacterial small subunit ribosomal RNA
Source: RNAcentral
GAUGAACGCUGGCGGCGUGCCUAAUACAUGCAAGUCGAGCGAACAGAUGAGGAGCUUGCUCCUCUGACGUUAGCGGCGGACGGGUGAGUAAAACGUGGAUAACCUACCUAUAAGACUGGGAUAACUUCGGGAAACCGGAGCUAAUACCGGAUAAUAUAUUGAACCGCAUGGUUCAAUAGUGAAAGACGGUUUUGCUGUCACUUAUAGAUGGUUCCGCGCCGCAUUAGCUAGUUGGUAAGGUAACGGCUUACCAAGGCAACGAUGCGUAGCCGACCUGAGAGGGUGAUCGGCCACACUGGAACUGAGACACGGUCCAGACUCCUACGGGAGGCAGCAGUAGGGAAUCUUCCGCAAUGGGCGAAAGCCUGACGGAGCAACGCCGCGUGAGUGAUGAAGGUCUUCGGAUCGUAAAACUCUGUUAUUAGGGAAGAACAAAUGUGUAAGUAACUAUGCACGUCUUGACGGUACCUAAUCAGAAAGCCACGGCUAACUACGUG